UAAUAAAGCACUAGGGCACCUGCCGGAUGAAUGCGUGCGAGUGGGCAUCCAUCUUGAAAACACACGCUGAAGGGGAUGCUGCCAAGUGACAGGAGAGAAGCGGAGAGCAGAGGGAUCUGGAACUGGGGAGGCUGGUGUGGGGAAGGGAGGGAAAAAGGUCCCUGCCCGCACAGCCCAAGUCAUAGUAAAAUGAAGAAUCCCUCCCCUGGUUCGUUCAUCUGUCGUUGAUGCACAAUCAAGAGCAUCCUGUCGGGCUGUAUCACCGCCUGGUACGGCAACUGCUCCACUCACAACCACAAGGCUCUCCAGAGGGUAGUGAGGUCUGCACAACGCAUCACCGGGGGCAAACUACCUGCCUUCCAAGACACCUACACCACCCAAUGUCACAGGAAGGCCAAAAAGAGCAUCAAGGACAACAACUACCCGAGCCACUGCCUGUUCACCCCGCUAUCAUCCAGAAGGCGAGGUCAGUAGUGGUGCAUCAACGCUGGGACCGAGAGACUGAAAACCAGCUUCUAUCUCAAGGCCAUCAGAUUGUUAAACAGCCAUCACUAACAUUGAGUGGCUGCUGCCAACAUAUGGACUCAAAUCUCUAGCCACUUUAAUCAUUAAAAAUUGGAUGUAAUAAAUGUAUCACUAGUCACUUUAAACAAUGCCACUAUAAUGUUUAUAUACCCU
Molecule: long non-coding RNA, 678 nt
Filed under: Salmo salar (Atlantic salmon)
Lineage: Eukaryota; Metazoa; Chordata; Actinopteri; Salmoniformes; Salmonidae
Description: lncRNA (ENSSSAG00000116507.1)
Source: RNAcentral